Molecule: ribosomal RNA, 1399 nt
Filed under: Micrococcus luteus
Lineage: Bacteria; Bacillati; Actinomycetota; Actinomycetes; Micrococcales; Micrococcaceae
Description: bacterial SSU rRNA
Source: RNAcentral
GGCGGGCUUACAUGCAAGUCGAACGAUGAAGCCCAGCUUGCUGGGUGGAUUAGUGGCGACGGGUAGUAACACGUGAGUAACCUGCCCUUAACUCUGGGAUAAGCCUGGGAAACUGGGUCUAAUACCGGAUAGGAGCGUCCACCGCAUGGUGGGUGUUGGAAAGAUUUAUCGGUUUUGGAUGGACUCGCGGCCUAUCAGCUUGUUGGUGAGGUAAUGGCUCACCAAGGCGACGACGGGUAGCCGGCCUGAGAGGGUGACCGGCCACACUGGGACUGAGACACGGCCCAGACUCCUACGGGAGGCAGCAGUGGGGAAUAUUGCACAAUGGGCGAAGCCUGAUGCAGCGACGCCGCGUGAGGGAUGACGGCCUUCGGGUUGUAAACCUCUUUCAGUAGGGAAGAAGCGAAAGUGACGGUACCUCAGAAGAAGCACCGGCUAACUACGUGCCAGCAGCCGCGGUAAUACGUAGGGUGCGAGCGUUAUCCGGAAUUAUUGGGCGUAUAAAGAGGCUUCGUAGGCGUUUCGCGUYYUGUCGUGAAUCCGGGGCUUAACCCGGAUCUGCGGUGGGUACGGGCAGACUAGAGUGCAGUAGGGGAGACUGGAAUUCYUGGUGUAGCGGUGGAAUGCGCAGAUAUCAGGAGGAACACCGAUGGCGAAGGCAGGUCUCUGGGCUGUAACUGACGCUGAGGAGCGAAAGCAUGGGGAGCGAACAGGAUUUAGAUACCCUGGUAGUCCAUGCCGUAAACGUUGGGCACUAGGUGUGGGGACCAUUCCACGGUUUCCGCGCCGCAGCUAACGCAUUAAGUGCCCCGCCUGGGGAGUACGGCCGCAAGGCUAAAACUCAAAGGAAUUGACGGGGGCCCGCACAAGCGGCGGAGCAUGCGGAUUAAUUCGAUGCAACGCGAAGAACCUUACCAAGGCUUGACAUGUUCUCGAUCGCCGUAGAGAUACGGUUUCCCCUUUGGGGYGGGUUCACAGGUGGUGCAUGGUUGUCGUCAGCUCGUGUCGUGAGAUGUUGGGUUAAGUCCCGCAACGAGCGCAACCCUCGUUCCAUGUUGCCAGCACGUCGUGGUGGGGACUCAUGGGAGACUGCCGGGGUCAACUCGGAGGAAGGUGAGGACGACGUCAAAUCAUCAUGCCCCUUAUGUCUUGGGCUUCACGCAUGCUACAAUGGCCGGUACAAUGGGUUGCGAUACUGUGAGGUGGAGCUAAUCCCAAAAAGCCGGUCUCAGUUCGGAUUGGGGUCUGCAACUCGACCCCAUGAAGUCGGAGUCGCUAGUAAUCGCAGAUCAGCAACGCUGCGGUGAAUACGUUCCCGGGCCUUGUACACACCGCCCGUCAAGUCACGAAAGUUGGUAACACCCGAAGCCGGUGGCCUAACCCUUGGGGGGAGCCUAAA